Molecule: unclassified non-coding RNA, 264 nt
Filed under: plant metagenome
Description: partial contains small subunit ribosomal RNA, internal transcribed spacer 1, and 5.8S ribosomal RNA
Source: RNAcentral
GUUUCCGUAGGUGAACCUUCGGAAGGAUCAUUAUCGAGUUUUGACUGUGUUGUAGCUGGCCUUCCGAGGCAUGUGCACGCCCUGCUCAUCCACUCUACACCUGUGCACUUACUGUGGGUAUCAGAUCGUGAAGCGUGCUCUUUUACCGGAGCUCGUGACGUGUGUCUGUGCCUGCGUUUAUCACAAACACUAUAAAGUAUCAGAAUGUGUAUUAUGAUGUAACGCAUCUAUAUACAACUUUCAGCAACGGAUCUCUUGGCUCUC